Equus quagga is the source of this 2112-nucleotide RNA transcript. It is a transcript of the gene named MISP family member 3, with no coding region annotated. The record is from RefSeq and is a predicted model, not a curated record. The transcript has 2 exons. Lineage: Eukaryota; Metazoa; Chordata; Mammalia; Perissodactyla; Equidae.
CAGAGAAGCGGCCGGUGCAGGCGACGCCCUGGAACCCGCGGGCGGUGACUGCGGCCACAGGUGCCGCGCAGAGCACCGUGUCCCAGCUCUGGGCAUCAGAACUCCGGCGCUGGGAACUAAGGCUUCCGAGCUGCUCCCAACCCUGGACCCCAAGGCCCCGAGCCGGAGAGCGGAGCCCUGGGGUCGUCUGAAGCUCGGGGCCUCGAGCCCCCCGGGUCUGACAGCGAAGUCCCAGGGCCUGCCGCAGAGCGAGACGCCGAGGUCCCCAGGCCGGGCGGCGAAAUCUCUGCGCCCUCCGCAGAGCAGGGCGCGGAAACCCCUGAGCGAGAGAGCGAAGUCCUCGGGCCAUCAGCGGGGCAGGACGCGGCGCGCCCCGGGCCGGCCGCCGCUGGAGGCGUGGAGAGGCCUGGGCCAGGCAGCCGCGACCCCCGGCCGUCUGAAGCCCGAAGCGCCGCGAUCCUGGAGCGGUGUCCCCUUCAGGGUCCCGAGACCUCCUCCUCAGAGUCAGACUCGGAAGCCCAUCAGCAUUUUCCAUUGCGCCCCGAGAUCCCCCAACAGUCCUCAGAGGAGCCGCUCAUGGAGCCGCUCAUGGAGACGCCCAUCGAGCGCGAAAUCCGCCGCAGCUGCGAACGCGAGGAGAGCCUGCGCCGGAGCCGAGGCCUGAGCCCCGGCCGUGCGCGCCGCGAACUCGUGGAGCUGCGCGUGCGGCCGGUGCUCAGCCUGCCGGGCCCCGGCCCCGCGCUCCCGCGCGCCGUGGAGCGCGCGCGGGCGGGCGCGCAGAUGCAGCGGGACAUCGAGCGGGAGGCUCACCGGCAGGCGGCGCUGGCGCUCCCCCCGGGCCCGGAGCCGCGCGCCCGGCAGCCGCCGCCGCCGCCGCUGGGCGAGCUCAAGCGCUUCUUCGAGGCCGCCGGCGGCGGCGGCUCCUCGCCAGCGGCGGAGGGCGGCGCGGGCCUGCAGCAGCUGCCGGAGGCCGGAAGCCGGCCGCACUCGGCGGCGCAGGGCCGGUGCCCGGUGCUGGCCCGCGCGCCCUCGCCCCUCGCGCCGUCCCUGCUGGAGCAGGAGGUGCGCGAGGUGCAGGAGCGCGAGCGAGAGCUGCAGCGCCAGCGGCUCAGCGUCUACGGCACCGCCGAGUUCCGGGACCCGGCGCCCAGCCUCACAGGUAAGUCACGGGCGGCCCGGCGCCCGGGACCCCGGGGCUCCAGCCGCCCUCACCGACUACCCGACUCCAGUGGCCCCUUUUCCGGCGCUCUGAUUCUCAGGGUACGCCCUCUUGGCUCCCACCCCUUCUCGACUCUCCGUUCCUGCCCAUCCCUUCUGGGCUGCCCGUCCCUGUGCUCCACCCCCGACUCGGAGUGGUCGACUCUCCGAUCCACCCCCACCCAGGCUCAUGGUGGGGAGGGAGGAGGACUCCGGACGUCUUUGUCGGAUUCUAGGGCACCCUCCCCGGGUUUGGCGCACCUGGAUCCCCUCUCUGAACUUUCUGGUUCCUACCUCCCCUCUCUGGGCUCACCUCCCUCCCCCCUCGGAAUGUAGGCCUCCAUGAGGAGGAGGGGGGUGGACGUCUGUGUGUGUUUAAGGGGCGCGGCCGGCCUCCUUGUCCCGGCCUCCUCCAGCUGGUGAGAGGAGGGGCAGCUGGCUGAGCGCGCCUUCCCCGCAGCGAGCAGGGGUGAUGGAAAGCUGGCGGUGAUCUGGCCUCCGCGCAGAAAGGCCUCGGAGAACGGCCUGGAGCAGGAGGAGCGGAAGCCUUGAGGUUCGAGCCGGCUCGGACCCCCGGCCGGACGGAGCAUGGCCGUUAGAGGGCCCGGGCAGGGGCGCCCGGGAGUGCCCUCGGGAUGGGCCGAAGGCCUGGAGGGAGGGGCCAGCGGUCUGCGCCGGCGAAGAUGACACGGACCAGCCCAUCCUUGAACUAGACUUUGUGAAACUGACCAGUCUCUUCUCUAAAACUGUCAGUCCCCCUGGGACACACCACCGCCACAAUCCGGCCGGAGAGACUGUCCAGCCCUUCACCUGACCGUAAGGCAAACCAGCCCCUCCCGCCGGCUCUGACCGUCGGAGGCCGGGGUCACGGCCUCGCUACCCCUACUCCCCAAUAAAGCCCCUUGUUUCUGGGCA